AGCAUAGCUUUUUUUUAUAUACACCACAAAAAAAGAUGCUUCUUUAACGGAAUCCUGCCUACCCCACCUUUAAGUAAAAAAAAAAUCAGGAAGUUUAACUGUCAAUGAAGUGAAACGUCGCAGGUUUAAACUGUUAAACAACCUUGAUACAAACUUCUGAUUGAUUAAUUGAGCUAUUUGUUUGAAGACAGAAUCAACUGACUAAAAUAUUUGUUGGUUCAGACCUCAUCAAACCCAUAAGGGCAAAAAUAUGACUAAAAAUAAAAUAAAAUAAAAAAACAAAAUGGUAAAGGUUUUCUUUGUUUUUGCAAGGAAUCAUGAAGGAGGGAGGAGAUCAAAAUGGAUAGAAAAAAGGAAAUAGGCAAUGAAGUAAGAGGCAGAUCAACAAAGAGAAAGAAAAGAGGAGGUUCACUGUUGAUUCUUGUCUUCUGAAGAGCAGAUUGUUGCAGUUAGAGAGUUUGUGGUCAUGCAUGACAAUCAUGGUGAAGAUCUUGGUGAAGAAAAUUCCUCUCCUGCAGACGGUUCGGAGCAGAUCAGUCUGAUCUGCAUUCACACGAUUCACCUGUCUGUCUGUCUGCCUGUCAUAAACACAGCGGCUGUCUGUGAUCAAGAGUUUGCUCUGUCUGUUGGUGAAUGCUAUUUGAUAUAAAGCAUUGAUGUGUGUGAAUGUGUGUAUGUGUGUGUGGGUGUGUGUGAGAUUCCUGUCUGGAGUAGGUGGGUGCUGGUUUCAGACCCUGCAGGUCAGUUUGUUAGAGUUGGCAGCACAGAAGAGCAAAGUAAACAGCACAUAAAGAGAAAAAUCUGGAUGGAGCUCUGAUGAGAAAUAGUGGCGGAUUAAACUGAGCUGUGCUGCAAUGACAACAUGUACACAAACACAUAUACACACUCACUCUGAGGUACCCAGCAACCCUCACACAUAAAUUUUCAGCGUCUCCUUACUUGACUCCAGCUAUUGACACAUUGAAGACAUAUUAAAUCUUUCAGCCAGUUGUAAACAUUUAACAAGUCACUCACAGAGGUGGAGCACCUGGUGUUGCAGUUUUAUAUCAAAGCUUUUACAUACACAAAAUACACAAUUACUGGCAGAGAAACCUGUGCAAGAGUUUAUUUGUGUGUUAUCUACAAAACCCAGAGAUGGCUGCAGAAUUAUCGUUUCAAAGAAGAUUAAAAAGCAAACAGGAGAAUAAUGCAGGGUGAAGCUCGAUGCCAGUUUUUUUCUAAAUUGGACUUACGCACAUGUACUUCUGUGAUUUCUCUGUAAUGACAGGUUGGCUGCAGAAGCAAGAGAUUAGCUGAAAUGGAGGCAAAAGACACCGAGUAGUGUUUGUCUUUGUCGGCCUAUAAUGUCUUUCCUAACCCUGACACUGAUCGGCCCCACAGUCUGAAGAUUUGUCACCGUCUGUCUGAAGAGUUUAUCUAAAAAGGAAUAAGUUUGGCAAAGAAGUGAGUGGAACACAAUCUUUGCAAAGUUUGGAGUCAGAAAAAUCCUGAAUGAUGAGCUUAAAUAAAUAUAAUGUGUCAGUUUCUGCUCAAGUUCCAAAAUCCACCUCCCAACAAAGACUUCCCUGAAGGAAUAAGCAAACUUAAUUUAUUUCUGCAAAGUAAUGUGACUGCAGAAAUACAACACCCCAGAAAAUAGAGCCAAGGUAUCAUAAAAAGUAGAAACUGAGCUAUUUUGUCUUAUGAAAAAUAAAUGAGCUAAUUUCAAAUUUGAUGCUAGCAACAUGUGCAAAAAGAGUUGGGAUAGGGGUGUGUUAUCUUUGUAUUGCAUCACCUGUAGUUUUUAAAUUGAAAUUUUGUCCAAUUCUUGCCUGAUAGUUUUUCCAUUGCUGAACAGUUCAGUGUCUCCUUUGUCGUAUGUUUUGUUGUCUAAUAGGCGACAUGACAGGACUGUUUAAGAGGCCAGUUUAGAAGCAGGACUCUUCUACUACAGAGCCAUGGACCUUUUCCGUUGAAACAUGUCAAGGUAAAAAAAGGAAACACACUGGUCCAAAUAGAGGAAAUAUUUGUGGAAUGUAUUCAUGGUUCAGCAUUAAUGGAGCCUUCCCAGAUGUGUAAGCUACCCAUGCCAUGGACACUUACCUCAGAGGUCGGCUGUCGGAGUUGGGAAUGAUGCCACACCCAAGUUGACAGCAUUCCAGUUAACAGGUUGGAAAAAUGGACGCCUACAUUUAGCCCUUGUUAGCUAUUGCUCACAAUUGUCAGCUGUUGUUAGCGGUUGUCAGCUGUUGUUUGCUAUACCAGUCAUAAACAAUGCACAACACAGUAUUUUACUCUACAAACACCAUAGCAACGUGUUCACAGUUAGGCACUGGGCAGUACAACACAUGCCACUUAUAUAAUUGCGCCAACACAAAACAGAAGUGCUAAUAAACAAUACAUUACGAGAGCUUUCACUGUUACUCUUUACUGUUGAUGCACUGUGCUGCCAUCUUGGAAUAUGAUGUAGUCGUCAAGUCGGGGUUGGCGAGGAUUGUCCGGCUUUCUGAGUUAGAAAUCCGAAUUUGGGGGGGCGUUCCAGAUGAAUUUCUGACUCAGAGCUCGGAAAUUCCACUUUCUGAGUACAACUGGAACGCAGCAUUAUGCAUCACCAUACCAUCAGAGAAGCUGGCUUUUUAACAAUGUUCUGUGUAGACAGAAACUCAAAUUGAUUUAUACAACAUGUAAUUCACAGGAGCUUUAACUUGCUGAAAAAGGAUACUUCUGAAAUCUAGAUAUUACUUUCAAAUUGUUUUGCAUGAAUAUUACACUUAUUACACGUUUUAUGUAUCCUCCCCUUUUUUAAGUUAAGUGUAAAUGUAAGUUCUAUGUGAACCCUUAUGUGUAAUGUUGCUUCUGAUUUCCCUUAUGUAGCAUAUUUUAAGCCAUCAGAGUUUAUUUGCCCCAACCAGCCACCAUACUUUUCUUCACAUACUUGACGCUUUUGUUUAUUUUUUAAUCAGGUAAUGAGACCAGAAAGAAAAAAAAAACUCAAGCUACCUUCUAUUUUAGCUGACUGUCAAUGAGGCAAAGUUUUAUUACGCAACUAUUUUGUGCACUCCAAAAUCCCCUGAUUUAGAUUUCAAGUCAUUUAAUAACAAACCCAAACAGAACAAAACCAAAACAGAUGUGAAGACCCACGAGUCCCGCAGGAUGUCAGUGUUAUGAAAAACUCAUAAAUCCACAUGAAGUUUUAUUGACAUUCAGAUGGUAAAAUCACAGCCGCAGGACAGCAGGAGCAUCAGAGGACAGUCCUGACUAAUGUCUGUCCCCCGUCCAGUCUGGCCGGAACUCCCUCCAUCCUUCAGACAGAGGCGGCUGACAUCACAUGAUGUUUUCUAUCUGAGUCACUCACCUCCUCCUUCACAUUUAAAAACAAAAUGAACAGCUCAGUGAAGCAACAGCCAUUAAUAAAAUGAGGUUCAAAAAUAGCAGGAAAAAUGUGAGAGCUUGCCAGUUUUGAGGGAGUUGUCAUUGGAUUGGUGUUUGUCUGUGUUCUGUCCGCUCUGACAGACUGAAC
Xyrichtys novacula (pearly razorfish) is the source of this 3499-nucleotide non-coding RNA. The record is from the annotation of a GenBank genome assembly. Lineage: Eukaryota; Metazoa; Chordata; Actinopteri; Labriformes; Labridae.